This is a long non-coding RNA of Pyrgilauda ruficollis (rufous-necked snowfinch), 217 nucleotides long. RefSeq lists it as uncharacterized. The transcript has 3 exons. Lineage: Eukaryota; Metazoa; Chordata; Aves; Passeriformes; Passeridae. The record is from RefSeq and is a predicted model, not a curated record.
CCGACCUCCUCCUGGCGAAUCGGAGCCGCUUUUUGGAUUUUGGGGCUGUGUAACAACCUCCCGUACGUGGUGAUGCUCAGCGCCGCCCGCGACCUGCUGGAGCCACGCCCCGGGGAAGAGCGGCAGAAUCGGAGCCGGCACGACUGCGACCCUGUGGGGACAGGGGUGGGUGGGGCUUAAGGGGGCGGGGCUUAAGUAGGCGGGGCUUAAAUUGGAG